Molecule: transfer RNA, 71 nt
Filed under: Thalassiosira oceanica
Lineage: Eukaryota; Bacillariophyta; Thalassiosirophyceae; Thalassiosirales; Thalassiosiraceae
Rfam family: tRNA
About the family: Transfer RNA (tRNA) molecules are approximately 80 nucleotides in length. Their secondary structure includes four short double-helical elements and three loops (D, anti-codon, and T loops).
Source: Rfam by way of RNAcentral
UGAGGAUUAGCUCAGUUGGUAGAGUGCGAGACUGCUAAUCUUGGGGCCGUGAGUUCAUCCUAGAUUCUAAA